This 861-nucleotide ribosomal RNA is filed under the name uncultured Neocallimastigales. RNAcentral's name for it is "partial large subunit ribosomal RNA". It matches the Rfam family "Eukaryotic large subunit ribosomal RNA", at positions 22 to 643 of the family's 3401-position model. The record is from RNAcentral. Lineage: Eukaryota; Fungi; Neocallimastigomycota; Neocallimastigomycetes; Neocallimastigales.
CUAUACAUGACUCUGCGCAUAUCAAUAAGCGGAGGAAAAGAAACUAACAAGGAUUCCCUCAGUAACGGCGAGUGAAGCGGGAAGAGCUCAAAUUUGAAAUCUUCAAGGUUCUACCUUGACGAGUUGUAGUUUAAAGAAGUGUUUUCUGUUGGAGUUUCGGUAAAAGUUCUUUGGAAUAGGACAUCAUAGAGGGUGAGAAUCCCGUAUUUGACCAUUACUUUCCAACUUUGUGAUACACUUUCAAAGAGUCGGAUUGUUUGGGAAUGCAGUCCAAAAUGGGUGGUAAAUUUCAUCUAAAGCUAAAUAUUGGCGAGAGACCGAUAGCGAACAAGUACCAUGAGGGAAAGAUGAAAAGAACUUUGAAUAGAGAGUUAAACAGUACGUGAAAUUGUCAAAAGGGAAGCGUUUGACACCAGUGUUGUUUUUCCGAAAAUCAAUUAAGAAUGGCCGGAUUUUGUGUUGUAUUGACUUUAUCAGCUUUCUGCACUUUUUUCUUGUCUUUUUUAAUGCACUUUUCGUUUAACAAGUCAACAUCAAUUUCUUUUGUUGUAAAAGGGUAUGAGGAAGGUGGCUUUCUUUUCGGAGAAAGUGUUUAUAGCCUUGUGCCUCUGCAAUCGGAGAGAUUGAGGUCUGCAGCGUAGAUCCUUCGGGGUUAGAUACAGUUUGUGCUAAGUUAUAGCUUUUCAUAGACAACUUGUUGACUAUGUUUAGUCUUGUAGCUUACUCGCUUACGCUAUUUUACCUACGCUUAGGAUGUUGAAGAUAUGCGCGACACGACUCUAUACAUGACUCUGCGCAUAUCAAUAAGCGGAGGGAAAAGUCAACUACCUACGCUUAGGAUGUUGAAGAUAUGCGCGACAC